GUGUUUUUGCAGAUGAACAGGUUGACAGAAGUCCCACUGGCUCAGGAGUGACAGCCCGAAUUGCCUUACAGUAUCACAAAGGGCUUCUGGAACUGAACCAGACGAGAGCCUUCAAAAGCAGUGCAACUGGCUCAGUAUUCACAGGGAAAGCUGUGAGGGAGCUGUUAUGAGAAGAAUCUGGGACUGCAGUGUCCCCCCAAAUAGAGAGGGAGCCGAGAGACCAAAGAAUGACUCAGACAAGUCCAGGAAGCGAAAUGUGGUGAUUUUAAAGCUGUUAUAGUGGAAGUAUCAGGACAAGCCCAUUACACGGGUACAGCAAGCUUUAUAGUAGAAGAUGACGACCCACUGAGAGAUGGAUUUCUUCUCAAGUGACUUCUUCCAUGAUUUCAAGGGCUUUCUUUUUAAAGUAAUCAUUAUCCUUAAGGACUGUUUUCUCUAAAUUAUAUGAAAACAAAUAAAUUAUACAUAUAAACUAA
RNAcentral lists this small RNA (476 nucleotides) under Pan troglodytes (chimpanzee). RNAcentral's name for it is "processed transcript". Lineage: Eukaryota; Metazoa; Chordata; Mammalia; Primates; Hominidae. The record is from RNAcentral.